GACGAACGCUGGCGGCGUGCCUAAUACAUGCAAGUCGAACGCACAGUUUAUACCGUAGCUUGCUACACCAUAAACUGUGAGUUGCGAACGGGUGAGUAACGCGUAGGUAACCUGCCUGGUAGCGGGGGAUAACUAUUGGAAACGAUAGCUAAUACCGCAUAAUAUUGAUUAUUGCAUGAUAAUUGAUUGAAAGAUGCUAUUGCAUCACUACCAGAUGGACCUGCGUUGUAUUAGCUAGUAGGUGAGGUAACGGCUCACCUAGGCGACGAUACAUAGCCGACCUGAGAGGGUGAUCGGCCACACUGGGACUGAGACACGGCCCAGACUCCUACGGGAGGCAGCAGUAGGGAAUCUUCGGCAAUGGACGAAAGUCUGACCGAGCAACGCCGCGUGAGUGAAGAAGGUUUUCGGAUCAUAAAGCUCUGUUGUAAGAGAAGAACGGGUGUGAGAGUGGAAAGUUCACACUGUGACGGUAUCUUACCAGAAAGAGACGGCUAACUACGUG
RNAcentral lists this ribosomal RNA (505 nucleotides) under uncultured bacterium. RNAcentral's name for it is "partial 16S ribosomal RNA". It matches the Rfam family "Bacterial small subunit ribosomal RNA", at positions 28 to 507 of the family's 1533-position model. The record is from RNAcentral.